This 460-nucleotide ribosomal RNA is filed under the name uncultured bacterium. RNAcentral describes it as "partial 16S ribosomal RNA". It matches the Rfam family "Bacterial small subunit ribosomal RNA", at positions 338 to 795 of the family's 1533-position model. The record is from RNAcentral.
CCUACGGGAGGCAGCAGUGAGGAAUAUUGGUCAAUGGACGAGAGUCUGAACCAGCCAAGUAGCGUGAAGGAUGACUGCCCUAUGGGUUGUAAACGUCUUUUAUAUGGGAGUAAAAUGUUCCACGUGUGGGAUUUUGUAUGUACCAUAUGAAUAAGGAUCGGCUAACUCCGUUCCAGCAGCAUCGGUACUACGGAGGAUCCGAGCGUUAUCCGGAUUUAUUGGGCUUAAAGGGAGCGUAGGUGGAUUGUUAAGUCAGUUGUGAAAGUUGGGGGCUUAAACGUAAAAUUGCAGUUGAAACUGGCAGUCUUGAGUACAGUAGAGGUGGGCAGAAUGCGUGGUGUAGCGGUGAAAUGCUUAGAUAUCACGAAGAACUCCGAUUGCGAAGGCAGCUCACUGGACUGAAACUGACACUGAGGCUCGAAAGUGUGGGUAUCAAACAGGAUUAGAUACCCUGGUAGUC